CUUAAACUCAAUUUCCCGAGAGAAAACAUUCUCCGAGAGAGACAUAACCCCAAUUGUUACAAUAUGUCAUUUUGACAACACAAGCAGUCAGAUAUGUAUGUAUCACAAUUCAAGGUUUAUAAAUUACGUCAAACAGUCUAAAGCAGGAUUCAGAUGCAUAUUUAGGAUGCAAUGACAAGGGAAGCAUCCCAUCCAUAUGCCAUAAGGACAGCUCAUAUAACCUCAAAGAGGACAUCACUCACCGCCGCAAUACUAAUGUCAAAAGUCUGUUAUUACAGGAAAGAUUAUAAAUUUUUGUAUAUUCAAGAUGUAUGCACAGAAUGAUAUAAAUUCUAAUUAGAAGGUA
Non-coding RNA from Nylanderia fulva, 346 nucleotides. Lineage: Eukaryota; Metazoa; Arthropoda; Insecta; Hymenoptera; Formicidae. The record is from RefSeq and is a predicted model, not a curated record.